GAGCAAUCUGUGUGACUGCGUACCUUUUGUAUAAUGGGUCAGCGACUUAUAUUCUGUAGCAAGGUUAACCGAAUAGGGGAGCCGAAGGGAAACCGAGUCUUAACUGGGCGUUAAGUUGCAGGGUAUAGACCCGAAACCCGGUGAUCUAGCCAUGGGCAGGUUGAAGGUUGGGUAACACUAACUGGAGGACCGAACCGACUAAUGUUGAAAAAUUAGCGGAUGACUUGUGGCUGGGGGUGAAAGGCCAAUCAAACCGGGAGAUAGCUGGUUCUCCCCGAAAGCUAUUUAGGUAGCGCCUCGUGAAUUCAUCUCCGGGGGUAGAGCACUGUUUCGGCAAGGGGGUCAUCCCGACUUACCAACCCGAUGCAAACUGCGAAUACCGGAGAAUGUUAUCACGGGAGACACACGGCGGGUGCUAACGUCCGUCGUGAAGAGGGAAACAACCCAGACCGCCAGCUAAGGUCCCAAAGUCAUGGUUAAGUGGGAAACGAUGUGGGAAGGCCCAGACAGCCAGGAUGUUGGCUUAGAAGCAGCCAUCAUUUAAAGAAAGCGUAAUAGCUCACUGGUCGAGUCGGCCUGCGCGGAAGAUGUAACGGGGCUAAACCAUGCACCGAAGCUGCGGCAGCGACGCUGAUGCGUUGUUGGGUAGGGGAGCGUUCUGUAAGCCUGCGAAGGUGUGCUGUGAGGCAUGCUGGAGGUAUCAGAAGUGCGAAUGCUGACAUAAGUAACGAUAAAGCGGGUGAAAAGCCCGCUCGCCGGAAGACCAAGGGUUCCUGUCCAACGUUAAUCGGGGCAGGGUGAGUCGACCCCUAAGGCGAGGCCGAAAGGCGUAGUCGAUGGGAAACAGGUUAAUAUUCCUGUACUUGGUGUUACUGCGAAGGGGGGACGGAGAAGGCUAUGUUGGCCGGGCGACGGUUGUCCCGGUUUAAGCGUGUAGGCUGGUUUUCCAGGCAAAUCCGGAAAACUAAGGCUGAGGCGUGAUGACGAGGCACUACGGUGCUGAAGCAACAAAUGCCCUGCUUCCAGGAAAAGCCUCUAAGCAUCAGGUAACAUCAAAUCGUACCCCAAACCGACACAGGUGGUCAGGUAGAGAAUACCAAGGCGCUUGAGAGAACUCGGGUGAAGGAACUAGGCAAAAUGGUGCCGUAACUUCGGGAGAAGGCACGCUGAUAUGUAGGUGAAGCGACUUGCUCGUGGAGCUGAAAUCAGUCGAAGAUACCAGCUGGCUGCAACUGUUUAUUAAAAACACAGCACUGUGCAAACACGAAAGUGGACGUAUACGGUGUGACGCCUGCCCGGUGCCGGAAGGUUAAUUGAUGGGGUCAGCGCAAGCGAAGCUCUUGAUCGAAGCCCCGGUAAACGGCGGCCGUAACUAUAACGGUCCUAAGGUAGCGAAAUUCCUUGUCGGGUAAGUUCCGACCUGCACGAAUGGCGUAAUGAUGGCCAGGCUGUCUCCACCCGAGACUCAGUGAAAUUGAACUCGCUGUGAAGAUGCAGUGUACCCGCGGCAAGACGGAAAGACCCCGUGAACCUUUACUAUAGCUUGACACUGAACAUUGAGCCUUGAUGUGUAGGAUAGGUGGGAGGCUUUGAAGUGUGGACGCCAGUCUGCAUGGAGCCGACCUUGAAAUACCACCCUUUAAUGUUUGAUGUUCUAACGUGGACCCGUAAUCCGGGUUGCGGACAGUGUCUGGUGGGUAGUUUGACUGGGGCGGUCUCCUCCUAAAGAGUAACGGAGGAGCACGAAGGUUGGCUAAUCCUGGUCGGACAUCAGGAGGUUAGUGCAAUGGCAUAAGCCAGCUUGACUGCGAGCGUGACGGCGCGAGCAGGUGCGAAAGCAGGUCAUAGUGAUCCGGUGGUUCUGAAUGGAAGGGCCAUCGCUCAACGGAUAAAAGGUACUCCGGGGAUAACAGGCUGAUACCGCCCAAGAGUUCAUAUCGACGGCGGUGUUUGGCACCUCGAUGUCGGCUCAUCACAUCCUGGGGCUGAAGUAGGUCCCAAGGGUAUGGCUGUUCGCCAUUUAAAGUGGUACGCGAGCUGGGUUUAGAACGUCGUGAGACAGUUCGGUCCCUAUCUGCCGUGGGCGCUGGAGAACUGAGGGGGGCUGCUCCUAGUACGAGAGGACCGGAGUGGACGCAUCACUGGUGUUCGGGUUGUCAUGCCAAUGGCACUGCCCGGUAGCUAAAUGCGGAAGAGAUAAGUGCUGAAAGCAUCUAAGCACGAAACUUGCCCCGAGAUGAGUUCUCCCUGACUCCUUGAGAGUCCUGAAGGAACGUUGAAGACGACGACGUUGAUAGGCCGGGUGUGUAAGCGCAGCGAUGCGUUGAGCUAACCGGUACUAAUGAACCGUGAGGCUUAACCUU
This 2363-nucleotide ribosomal RNA is filed under the name Escherichia coli. RNAcentral's name for it is "partial 23S ribosomal RNA". It matches the Rfam family "Bacterial large subunit ribosomal RNA", at positions 582 to 2925 of the family's 2925-position model. Lineage: Bacteria; Pseudomonadati; Pseudomonadota; Gammaproteobacteria; Enterobacterales; Enterobacteriaceae. The record is from RNAcentral.